Molecule: long non-coding RNA, 508 nt
Organism: Chelonus insularis
Lineage: Eukaryota; Metazoa; Arthropoda; Insecta; Hymenoptera; Braconidae
Exons: 3
Source: RefSeq, a predicted model, not a curated record
UUAAUCUCUAGGAACAUACAGGACGGGUUUUCCGUUUACAAUUUGAUGAAUUUCAAAUAGUUUCUUCGUCCCACGAUGAUACCAUACUUAUUUGGGAUUUUCUUAAUUGCAAUGGAUCUGAAAAUAAUGCUGUUAGUAGUUCUACUGUACCGAAUCCACCAUCGAAUACUAAUCAAGCUGAUACCAGAUCUCCAUCCCCAUUUGAGUGACGUAUGAAAACUGAUCUAAUCAUUUAUUGUGAUACGAAUAUUUGUGGUAAAUAAGUGAAUACUUAAUGUAUUCACUUGGGAUCUGUGAAUAAAUAACAUUAGUGCCCAACAAAAAUGGAAUAAAAAAAUAUUAAGAUAAUGAAUUUAAAUGGAUAUUUAUUGAUCAACAAUGAAUUGAAUCAUGUAAAAUGCACAUGGAAUGUAAAGAUGAACUGAAUGUGAGAAAAAAUUUUUUUGUCUAUCGCGAAAUUAGAGAAAUUUGUCAUUUCUUAAUUAAAAAACCAACUUUUUCUAUUAUU